CAGAAAAUAGUUUAGUAUUAGAAUUCUGGCUUUGGGUGCCAGAGGUGGGAGUUAAAAUCUCUCUUUUCUGA
Molecule: transfer RNA, 71 nt
Filed under: Enteromius trimaculatus (threespot barb)
Lineage: Eukaryota; Metazoa; Chordata; Actinopteri; Cypriniformes; Cyprinidae
Description: tRNA-Pro
Rfam family: tRNA
About the family: Transfer RNA (tRNA) molecules are approximately 80 nucleotides in length. Their secondary structure includes four short double-helical elements and three loops (D, anti-codon, and T loops).
Source: RNAcentral